UGAGGAAUUUUGCGCAAUGGGAGCAAUCCUGACGCAGCAACGCCGCGUGGGUGAUGAAGGCCUUCGGGUCGUAAAGCCCUGUCAGGUGGGAAGAAUGUCCCGGGACUGAACAGGUUCCGGGAGUGACGGUACCACCAGAGGAAGCACCGGCUAACUCCGUGCCAGCAGCCGCGGUAAUACGGAGGGUGCAAGCGAUAUUCGGAAUUACUGGGCGUAAAGCGCGUGUAGGCGGUCCUGCAAGUCUGAUGUGAAAGCCCCGGGCUUAACCCGGGAAGUGCAGUGGAAACUGUGGGACGUGAGUACUGUAGAGGAUGGGGGAAUUCCCGGUGUAGAGGUGAAAUUCGUAGAGAUCGGGAGGAAGAUCAGUGGCGAAGGCGCCCAUCUGGACGGUAACUGACGCUGAGACGCGAAAGCGUGGGGAGCAAACA
This 428-nucleotide ribosomal RNA is filed under the name uncultured prokaryote. RNAcentral describes it as "bacterial SSU rRNA". It matches the Rfam family "Bacterial small subunit ribosomal RNA", at positions 355 to 774 of the family's 1533-position model. The record is from RNAcentral.